UGCCAGCCGCCGCGGUAAUACGGGGGGUGCAAGCGUUGCUCGGGAUUACUGGGCGUAAAGCGCACGCAGGCGGCGUGCCAGGUCGGAUGUGAAAGCCCGGGGCUCAACCCCGGAACUGCAUUCGAAACCGGCAUGCUAGAGUUCGAGAGAGGGUGGUGGAAUUCCUGGUGUAGAGGUGAAAUUCGUUGAUAUCAGGAGGAACACCGGCGGCGAAGGCGGCCACCUGGCUCGAUACUGACGCUCAUGUGCGAAAGCGUGGGGAGCAAACAGGAUUAGAUA
This 279-nucleotide ribosomal RNA is filed under the name uncultured bacterium. RNAcentral's name for it is "partial 16S ribosomal RNA". It matches the Rfam family "Bacterial small subunit ribosomal RNA", at positions 506 to 784 of the family's 1533-position model. The record is from RNAcentral.